This 459-nucleotide ribosomal RNA is filed under the name uncultured Anaerolineae bacterium. Its description in RNAcentral is "bacterial SSU rRNA". It matches the Rfam family "Bacterial small subunit ribosomal RNA", at positions 28 to 505 of the family's 1533-position model. The record is from RNAcentral. Lineage: Bacteria; Bacillati; Chloroflexota; Anaerolineae.
GAUGAACGCUGGCGGCAUGCCUAACACAUGCAAGUCGAGGGAAAAGCUCACUUCGGUGAGUGGAAACCGGCGCACGGGUGAGUAACGCGUAGUUUAUCUGCCUUCAAGAAGAGGAUAACACCCAGAAAUGAGUGCUAAUACUCUAUAAGCUCACGAGGACUAGAGAAUUGUGAGAAAAUGCUCCGGCGCUUGAAGAUGAGACUGCGUAUCAUCAGCUAGUUGGUAAGGUAACGGCUUACCAAGGCAACGACGAUUAGGGGACCUGAGAGGGUGGCCCCCCACACUGGGACUGAGACACGGCCCAGACUCCUACGGGAGGCAGCAGUGAGGAAUAUUGCACAAUGGAGGCAACUCUGAUGCAGCAAUGCCGCGUGAACGAAGAAGGAUUUCGGUCUGUAAAGUUCUUUUCUGUGUGACGAGAGUGGACGGUAGCACAGGAAUAAGUCUCGGCUAACUACG